RNAcentral lists this ribosomal RNA (466 nucleotides) under uncultured bacterium. Its description in RNAcentral is "partial 16S ribosomal RNA". It matches the Rfam family "Bacterial small subunit ribosomal RNA", at positions 28 to 507 of the family's 1533-position model. The record is from RNAcentral.
GACGAACGCUGGCGGCGUGCUUAACACAUGCAAGUCGAACGGAAAGGCCCUGCUCGCAGGGUACUCGAGUGGCGAACGGGUGAGUAACACGUGGGUGAUCUGCCCUGCACUUCGGGAUAAGCUUGGGAAACUGGGUCUAAUACCGGAUAGGAGCCAUCUUUAGUGUGGUGGUUGGAAAGUUUUUUCGGUGUAGGAUGAGCUCGCGGCCUAUCAGCUUGUUGGUGGGGUAAUGGCCUACCAAGGCGGCGACGGGUAGCCGGCCUGAGAGGGUGUACGGCCACAUUGGGACUGAGAUACGGCCCAGACUCCUACGGGAGGCAGCAGUGGGGAAUAUUGCACAAUGGGCGCAAGCCUGAUGCAGCGACGCCGCGUGGGGGAUGAAGGCCUUCGGGUUGUAAACUCCUUUCGCUAGGGACGAAGCUUUUUUGUGACGGUACCUAGAUAAGAAGCACCGGCUAACUACGUG